This is a long non-coding RNA of Bubalus bubalis (water buffalo), 2679 nucleotides long. RefSeq lists it as uncharacterized. Lineage: Eukaryota; Metazoa; Chordata; Mammalia; Artiodactyla; Bovidae. The record is from RefSeq and is a predicted model, not a curated record. The transcript has 3 exons.
AUUAAAAUUUUUAUGUAUUCUGUCUUCAUAGAAGCUUAAUGGGAUAGUAGCAUCACUAUAAUUAAGUGGACUGGUAUAUACUUUCCCCCAAUUUAUCUGUAAGUGCUAGCAUGAUUUACUUAUGAAAAAUAUAUUUGGAAAUUUCCACUUCCUCUUACAAGCUCUCUUAUGGGAGUAAGUACAGAGGAGGCUUUUAGAAGGUCGCACGUAUUCAGUAGGAAAAUUCAGGGACCGGAGGACUGACAGCCAACCUCUCAGGACCUGUUGUGACUUCCUGCUGGUGGGAGGACUCACCUGCACCAGUCAACAAAACGGAGGCUUAUGUCGCCUAAGGCUGGAGCUGGACCGGGUCUGCAUGCUGGUGAGGAAAGUGAGAUCUGCGUGUGGUAAGAAUUGAUUCAUCUUUGUGCCGGCUCCAUGCCCAUACUUGCCCGGCUGAAUGUAGCUGAAGAAUAAUAAAUGCACCUGAGAUGAAUUCUCCCUUACCUUUCCAGGUGGCUCAGUAGUAAAGAAUCUGUCUGUCAAUGCAGGAGAUGUGAGUUCAAUCCCUGGGUGGGGAAGCUCCCCUGGAGAAGGAAAUGGCAACCUACUCCAGUGUUCUUGCCUGGGAAAUCCGAUGGACAGAGGAGCCUGGUGGGCUACAGUCCAUGGAGCUGUGGAGUGGGACACAGCUGAGCACACUCACACAGAUCACCACCAUCCUGGAUUCCCAGAGUCCUCUCACUCUCUCCCUCCCCCUCUCUUCCCCCUCUCAAACUCCCACCCUCUUCCUCCAUUCUCACCCUGGUGGAUUGUAUCCCUUUGGGUCUCUCUCAGGAGCGGGAUGCCAUCCGAGGAGGGUGUCCACCUCUCAUGUGGACCACCUACAAGCAUCUCCAUGUCCUCCCAUCAAGAUUAGCCAAGCCACCUCUCCUCUGGCACGUGUCUUAGACCCCUCACCCAAGUUGGUCCAGGGACUUGCUCUAGAAAUGCUUCCUCUUUCUUCUCAUUAAUUAAUCUUCCCUAUCUAUAUGUAAACAUGCUGUUAUCUGAUCAUAAACAGAUAAAAAUCUCUAUUUUCCUGUCUCAGUAUUGCCUCACUUUCUCCAUUUCUUAGAGUAAAGCUCCCCUGAGUUGUCUAAACUGCCUUUCUCCAUUUCACGUCUCCCUCUGAGCAGGUCUCUGACCUCCAGGGCUCCACUAAGACAACUCUUAUCUUAGAUUCCCCCUUACCUAUUUAAACCAUCUUGGAAAUCUCCUCCAACAUCACAGCUUUAGGUUACCAGGGGUAGCUCAAGACUACAAAACUGCCAUUUCCAGCCAGGAAAGUCCCUCCAGGGGCUUCUUAAAAGACAUACUCAUUAUUGUCUCUGAUGCCCAGUUACCUCCCUGACCACAUCAUUUUCAUACUCUCCCCAGGGGUUGUUUUUAUCCAGACCCAUGUCUCCAUGUUGCCCCUGAGGCCUUACCCUGGCUUCACCCUCUGAGUCAGGCUCCCCACCCAUCUCCUCGGCCACAUACACCUGGUCUGGUCUUGACUAGCAACUGGCGAGUUUCCUUCUCUGACAAAUCUAAAUAAACCUCUCUGUCUACACCCUGUCUUUAAUUCUCCUCCAUUUUCACUUACCACCAUCUAACAUCAUAGGUAUAUAUCGUCUAUUCAUUUUGUUUGUUGUCGUGAGAUAGGUUAGAUGCUCAUCUAAAAAAAAUGUUCACAAAUUAGGAAAAUAAUGCAGGAAUACAUUUCUAAUACUUCAAUAAGUUUUUUUUCUGUCUUCAUAAAUCAGACCCAUUUAUGAUUUUCCUAUAUUGUUCUAUCUUUAUCAGAAUUUUGAAAGAGUUAUGGUACCUUUGGGAAGUGAAUUGGGAGGCCUUUCAUCUCUGUUCUGAGGCCUGGGAUAAUUUAACUUUGAGAAGCCUCUCUCUUGAAGGUUAUAUAAAUUCAUGUUACAUAAACCUCAGCUGGGACUCCAUCUGUCCUUGGUGUCUUUUUCAAUGGUAGAUCUUUAAGUGUCUUUUUCUAAACUCUCUUAUGGUAACUGAUGUAUUUAAGUUUCCCCUUCCUUUCUUUUUGGGUGAAUUUUGGCAAUAUAUAUUUUGCUGGGAAGUCAUCCAUUUCCUCUAAAUUUUCAAAUGUCUUGUCAGAAAGUUUCAUAUAUACAUAUAUUUUUAUGACUGCUUUAAUCACUUCUACCUCUAUAGUUAUAGUUAUUUCUUGUUUCUCUCUCCCAGUUUGGUGCAUUUUUUUGCCUUCUCUUUUUGCUUUAAACAAGCUCAUGAAGCAUUCAUAUAAAUAAACUGACUCAGAUUUGAAUUUUAAAAUUUCUGCUACCUUUAAAAUUUUUCCCUAGUUUUAGCUUUUGUAAUGAAUUUUUUUCCUCUUUGUUUUGGGUUUAAAUUAUUUUCUAUAUUCAUAGGAUGAGCACAACUCUAUUCUUUAACUUUCUUUGUAAAUAAUGAUGAUAUUUCAUGUCAAUUUUUUUCUUUUUCUGAAAACUACUUUCAUUCUGUCCCACAGGUUUAGCUGGGAAGAUAGUUCCUCCUCAUAACUUUUUACAUCCUUGUAAUUUUCCUUUUGAUUUUCUCUUUGUCCAAGAGUUAUCUGUCUAGGAAUGGUCUCCUUAAUCCCCCAGGGAUUCUGAUUAUUGGUCCCUUUAUAUUAUUCAUUAUUUCUGAUCUUAUUAGCUCAUGUUCACAGAA